RNAcentral lists this ribosomal RNA (468 nucleotides) under uncultured bacterium. RNAcentral's name for it is "partial 16S ribosomal RNA". It matches the Rfam family "Bacterial small subunit ribosomal RNA", at positions 28 to 507 of the family's 1533-position model. The record is from RNAcentral.
GACGAACGCUGGCGGCGUGCUUAACACAUGCAAGUCGAACGGAAAGGCCCUGCUUUUGUGGGGUGCUCGAGUGGCGAACGGGUGAGUAACACGUGAGUAACCUGCCCUUGACUUUGGGAUAACUUCAGGAAACUGGAGUUAAUACCAGAUAGCAGCUCCCGCUGCAUGGUGGGGGUUGGAACGUUUCGGCGGGUGGGGAUGGACUCGCGGCUUAUCAGCUUGUUGGUGGGGUAGUGGCUUACCAAGGCAUUGACGGGUAGCCGGCCUGAGAGGGUGACCGGCCACAAUGGGACUGAGAUAGGGACCAGACUCCUACGGGGGGCAGCAGUGGGGAAUAUUGCACAAUGGGCGGAAGCCUGAUGCAGCAACGCCGCGUGCGGGAUGACGGCCUUCGGGUUAUAAACCGCUUUCGCCUGAGACGAAGCGUGAGUGACGGUAAUGGGUAAAGAAGCACCGGCUAACUACGUG